GAUGAACGCUGGCGGCGUGCCUAAUACAUGCAAGUCGAGCGAACGGACGAGAAGCUUGCUUCUCUGAUGUUAGCGGCGGACGGGUGAGUAACACGUGGAUAACCUACCUAUAAGACUGGGAUAACUUCGGGAAACCGGAGCUAAUACCGGAUGAUAUUUUGAACCGCAUGGUUCAAAAGUGAAAGACGGUCUUGCUGUCACUUAUAGAUGGAUCCGCGCUGCAUUAGCUAGUUGGUAAGGUAACGGCUUACCAAGGCAACGAUGCAUAGCCGACCUGAGAGGGUGAUCGGCCACACUGGAACUGAGACACGGUCCAGAGGCCUACGGGAGGCAGCAGUAGGGAAUCUGCCGCAAUGGGCGAAAGCCUGACGGAGCAACGCCGCGUGAGUGAUGAAGGUCUUCGGAUCGUAAAACUCUGUUAUUAGGGAAGAACAUAUGUGUAAGUAACUGUGCACAUCUUGACGGUACCUAAUCAGAAAGCCACGGCUAACUACGUG
Molecule: ribosomal RNA, 497 nt
Filed under: uncultured bacterium
Lineage: Bacteria
Description: partial 16S ribosomal RNA
Rfam family: Bacterial small subunit ribosomal RNA
Source: RNAcentral